GCCUGGGUAGCUCAGUCGGUUGAGCAUCCGACUUCGGCUCAGGUCAUGAUCUCAUGGUUCGUGAGUUCGAGCCCCGCAUCGGGCU
This 85-nucleotide transfer RNA is filed under the name Felis catus (domestic cat). It matches the Rfam family "tRNA". From Rfam's summary of the family: Transfer RNA (tRNA) molecules are approximately 80 nucleotides in length. Their secondary structure includes four short double-helical elements and three loops (D, anti-codon, and T loops). Lineage: Eukaryota; Metazoa; Chordata; Mammalia; Carnivora; Felidae. The record is from Rfam by way of RNAcentral.